CCGCAAAUUGGGUUGCGCGCGGUUUUUUUAAAAAAAUGGAAAGUCGCUUUUGGCAAAGAAUCAGUUACACCAACUGAUACAAUCUCGCCUCCAUCGACCUCUGACCUUUUUGAGGCAUCAACAUCCACAUCGUCCGUACCUCCUGAGUUCGAGAGCACUCUUCAAUUGAAACGACAGAAUACGUUUUUGGGGCAAUUGUCAUAUGCUUUAAAAACGCGCACGAUAAAACUGCAAGACGUUCUUGAAAAAGACUGUAAUGGAAGAGGAAUAAUCAAGACGUAUAAAAAAGCAAAAUCACUUACAAGACAAUUUCGAAUGACAAUAGUUGAUAUUGUUUUAACAUAAUUAUUGAAUGAAGUGAACCGAUUGACAAAUGAGGAUCUGGAGUACCUCGCGCAAGAGAUCGUGAAAGUUUUCCCUACCGAGCGGACAGCAACGUAUUUCGUUCCCGCAGUGAAAAAAAAACCAAUCGCUACAUGAUAAAUGCUCUAUAGCACGAGGAAAAUUGGUGGAUAAAUACCAGAAUAAAAUUCGCAUACUAAAAGUCAUCAACGAGUUCUCAAGUUCCAAAGAAUCCCGAAAGAAUCAAACAAGUAUCGCUGUCGAUGAAGCUGUUCUUGAGGCUGUGAAGUGGCUGAAAAAUCAUGUAGUGCCUUGGGAAAUCGUAGUCUCUAACUGGAAACUGACGUCUAAGUAUCGCCGCGAGUCCAUCAAAUAAAGCGAUGACAAUAAACUAUGCUCGAUUUUCGAAAACUGGCCAAUAUUGAAGCUUCCUCAGGCGUAUUCGUUGAUCGAACAAGACUACAUCGACCUUCAACUUACAGAAAAACAAGUGUCAAUCGGAAUUUGGCGAGGAUUCUUUGAGAGACUAUUAGCUUGCAGACCACCGAAAAAAGACGACGACAACGCUAAAGCUUUAAGAGAAUGUCUUGAACAUGGACAGGUUAACGAAGAUGCAAAAGUCGUCCUACAAUUAAAACAUAUCGCUCAUCUUGUGCCUCCGAGAGGCUUAUUACGUUUACGAAAAAAAAAAACAGUGGAAACCAUCGAUUGUCGAAUGCAAGGACAGCAUUGUAACGUUCGUCACUUCGGUGGCUGACAUUACGAAAAUUCAAGAAGACCGGAGAAAAGUGGCUAGCGAUCUCGGCAUCACAAUCCAACCUUUCAUUAUUGCUGUCGGUGCUUCAUAUUCAGAAGUAACCGACUGCUUCGUAAGUGUUGACCACAUAUUAUACAAAGUUCCUUCUGCGCUCAAAGCGAUAGACCUGUGCUUUCAAGUAUUUCACGUUUUUGACCUUGUAAUGAGGAGAAAUUGUAGGAGAAACCCCCCACCCCCUACUCCAUGCCAAAUUUCGCUAGACCGUGUGGAAGGGAGUGGGUGAAUUGAGCCAGAGUUCUAAAGUCAGUUAGGAAGCGGCCGCCCAUGCGCUAGUAGAUCACGGAGUUACAAUCCAGAAGUAGUACAAUAAAAUAUCCAGUGGAUCGUCGAACGAAUGGCGGAACACGCACAGGACACCUCCAUCAUCUAUACCGUGGUUACUCUACCUCAAGUCAGCAUUCUGGUGAAAAGGGAGGAUCGCCGUGCUUCUUCCGUUGAUUCGUAUACUAUACUAUAUAUACAGGGUGUCCCAUUUUAAUCUUACACCUGACUUUUCUCGGAAAAUAUUGCUCGGAUCAAAUAUUGUGUGGAACAAAACUUUUAGGGGUUGA
Long non-coding RNA from Venturia canescens, 1710 nucleotides. RefSeq lists it as uncharacterized. NCBI's taxonomy places the organism in Eukaryota, Metazoa, Arthropoda, Insecta, Hymenoptera, Ichneumonidae. The record is from RefSeq and is a predicted model, not a curated record. The transcript is spliced from 4 exons.